Manacus vitellinus (golden-collared manakin) is the source of this 217-nucleotide long non-coding RNA. RefSeq lists it as uncharacterized. NCBI's taxonomy places the organism in Eukaryota, Metazoa, Chordata, Aves, Passeriformes, Pipridae. The transcript is spliced from 3 exons. The record is from RefSeq and is a predicted model, not a curated record.
AAGUCCUGCUGAAUUGGUUUGGAUUAAGAGAGAAGAAAAGGAGAGGACUCUUGGUAAAAUAUCAGGUAUAGACAGACAUACCCUAGUCUUGUGGCACCCAUGAAUAGAUCCAGUGAGCCUGUGCAGCUGUGUUUUGAUCAGCAGAGAAGUUUCCUGGCAUCCGAGAACUGAAAUCACCUUUUGGGUAUGACAAGUGCAUCUAACUGCAGGGACGCAG